CACACACUAUUCUUGAAACAUUGUUGAGGAAACAUCUCCAAGCUUACAAACUCGAAAGUUAUUUCAAGUCAAGAAAUAUGGCCAAAAUACUGUUGAUGUUUAUCGUUCUAACAUGCCUGAUCGCAACUAUUACACCAGCGGUUCAUGACUAUUCAUGCUACUCAUCAGGAUGUAGCAAGGUUAAAGGUCGAUGCACAAAGGAUGGGGGCUAUUGUGAUGGAUAUACAUGUCACACAUAUGCGUUCGUUGAAGGGACUGGAUGUUACCCAUCAAACCCCCGCCCAUGCAGCGAAUCGAAAAAUAACACUGUUUAAAUGCAUUGGUUAUUGAUGUUAAAAGCAAUUAAGUUGUUUGAACACACUACGCUUGUAAAGAAAAAAAAAAUUCUUUUAAAUAAUAAUAAAAAAAUUUGUUGAAAA
Molecule: long non-coding RNA, 419 nt
Organism: Cotesia glomerata
Lineage: Eukaryota; Metazoa; Arthropoda; Insecta; Hymenoptera; Braconidae
Exons: 3
Source: RefSeq, a predicted model, not a curated record